This 145-nucleotide microRNA precursor is filed under the name Gossypium hirsutum (cotton). Its description in RNAcentral is "MIR7502 microRNA precursor family". It matches the Rfam family "MIR7502 microRNA precursor family". Lineage: Eukaryota; Viridiplantae; Streptophyta; Magnoliopsida; Malvales; Malvaceae. RNAcentral also lists the same sequence under 1 other name. The record is from Rfam by way of RNAcentral.
CGUUAAAACUUUCAUCCAUUUCUACUGUUAAAAAUUGGCGUGGCUAACGAAAUAACCAAAUAGUUACAUGUGGCAUGCCAUGCAUACCUCAUGUUAAAGUAGAGGGAUUAGUUUCUAACAAUUAAAAUGGAUGGAAUUUUUAAUA